GUAGGUGGCAAGCGUUGUCCGGAAUUAUUGGGCGUAAAGCGCGCGCAGGCGGUCCUUUAAGUCUGAUGCGAAAGCCCACGGCUCAACCGUGGAGGGUCAUUGGAAACUGGGGGACUUGAGUACAGAAGAGGAAAGCGGAAUUCCAAGUGUAGCGGUGAAAUGCGUAGAGAUUUGGAGGAACACCAGUGGCGAAGGCGGCUUUCUGGUCUGUAACUGACGCUGAGGCGCGAAAGCGUGGGGAGCAAACAGGGAUUAGAUACCCUGGUAGUCCACGCCGUAAACGAUGAGUGCUAAGUGUUAGGGGGGUUUCCGCCCCCUUAGUGCUGCAGCUAACGCAUUAAGCACUCCGCCUGGGGAUACGGCCGCAAGGCUG
RNAcentral lists this ribosomal RNA (373 nucleotides) under uncultured organism. Its description in RNAcentral is "partial 16S ribosomal RNA". It matches the Rfam family "Bacterial small subunit ribosomal RNA", at positions 527 to 896 of the family's 1533-position model. The record is from RNAcentral.